This is a long non-coding RNA of Scylla paramamosain (green mud crab), 334 nucleotides long. RefSeq lists it as uncharacterized. The transcript has 3 exons. NCBI's taxonomy places the organism in Eukaryota, Metazoa, Arthropoda, Malacostraca, Decapoda, Portunidae. The record is from RefSeq and is a predicted model, not a curated record.
AUGGGUGGCACGAUGUUUUCUGUGACGUGGCGGCGGUGGCAGUCAGUGGACUUCAGUGCACCUCUUUAUCUAGAUCAGUCUAAUGUGAUGUACAUGAAACCUGAGGUUACUUCCGAUGUAGGUGGCUUUAUCAAGCCAUACACUUUGACGAUUUGGCUGAUGCUGUUCAUCGCUUCCCUGUUGGUGUUUUCAGCCACAUUCCUCAUCCUCAGGGCUGAAGCAUUCCUCAAGACAAUGACAAAGAACCAGAACCUAUCGUGUCAUACAGCGGUUGGGUGGGUACCGACGGCUAACCAAUCAUCUGCCUACACUUGGUCCACGCUGUUGGCCCAAA